UGCGGGGUAGAGCAGAGGCAGCUCGUCGGGCUCAUAACCCGGAGGUCGCAGGUUCGAAUCCUGUCCCUGCUA
RNAcentral lists this transfer RNA (72 nucleotides) under Chloroflexota bacterium. RNAcentral describes it as "Chloroflexi bacterium tRNA-Met". It matches the Rfam family "tRNA". Rfam says of the family: Transfer RNA (tRNA) molecules are approximately 80 nucleotides in length. Their secondary structure includes four short double-helical elements and three loops (D, anti-codon, and T loops). Lineage: Bacteria; Bacillati; Chloroflexota. The record is from RNAcentral.